CCUACGGGAGACAGCAGUGAGGAAUAUUGGUCAAUGGGCGAGAGUCUGAACCAGCCAAGUAGCGUGAAGGAUGACUGCCCUAUGGGUUGUAAACUUCUUUUAUAAAGGAAUAAAACGAGGCACGUGUGCCUUUUUGCAUGUACUUUAUGAAUAAGGAUCGGCUAACUCCGUGCCAGCAGCCGCGGUAAUACGGAGGAUCCGAGCGUUAUCCGGAUUUAUUGGGUUUAAAGGGAGCGUAGAUGGGUUGUUAAGUCAGUUGUGAAAGUUUGCGGCUCAACCGUAAAAUUGCAAUUGAUACUGGCAGUCGUGAGUACAGUUGAGGUAGGCGGAAUGCGUGGUGUAGCGGUGAAAUGCUUAGAUAUCACGAAGAACCCCGAUUGCGAAGGCAGCUUACUAAACUGUGACUGACAUUGAUGCUCGAAAGUGUGGGUAUCAAACAGGAUUAGAUACCCGAGUAGUC
Molecule: ribosomal RNA, 460 nt
Filed under: uncultured bacterium
Lineage: Bacteria
Description: partial 16S ribosomal RNA
Rfam family: Bacterial small subunit ribosomal RNA
Source: RNAcentral